Molecule: long non-coding RNA, 5185 nt
Organism: Camelus dromedarius (Arabian camel)
Lineage: Eukaryota; Metazoa; Chordata; Mammalia; Artiodactyla; Camelidae
Exons: 2
Source: RefSeq, a predicted model, not a curated record
AGGAACAACUGAGGAGGACUGCCCCUCGCUAAAAUAUUAAUUAUAUAGAGCAAUGCAUCUGGGCUUCUCUUUACACUGUAAACGUUUUCCUACAGUGGUGCCUAUGAAACAAAUUCUUGUCCCCGUUACUUCACAUUAUCAUUUCAAAAGGCCAUUAUCUUUCUUUCUGCUUGAUCGCCCUUUGAGGUAGCACCUCCAAACGUCAACUCAAAAUCUCUCUGCCCUUCAGCUUCUCCGCCAAGCAAGUUAACGACCUGUAAAUAAAUCCUUAAAUGUCCUUAGGAAUCUGCCGUUUGAAGGAAUCCUAUUAGAAACUGAAGAAUCCUUCUGAAAUGCAAAUACAUUUCCUCCCUUAUUGAACCGGCCUAAAGCUUUUCACCUGGCUUCCUGGAGGGGUGCAAACCCCCACAGAACUCCAGCCUUGCUUUUUGAGGUUCUCAUUGUCUUUAGGGGGAGAUGAGGGACGAAGCAGCCUAGAAAAUCUUGAUCUCAUAUUUUUUUCCAGAGGAGUAGGAGGAAGAUCCAAAAUAGUUAGGUCUGGCAGCUUAAUCUGGGUUGGCUGUUUUUGCCAGCAAUCUGUAAAAUGUGUUUUUCAAGGAUAAGAAGUUUGGGCCCCAGGCUAGAGCUUGUGUCUGUCAUGGGCAGGAAGAUAAACGAUCUCUUUAACCCACUGCUAUGCGCUGUUUGCCUUUGUGCCUGGCCUGAUCAGGAACACCAUGCCUGCCACAGGCCCAGAGCUGCCCAGGGUUGAUUCUUCCCUCUUCCAAGCAGAACCUUCACAUCACCAGUUGGGUGAGCAUGGCAGGGCCCGCCUUUUGUGGGGUAAAACUGCACACUAGCCCACGCCCGAAUUGGUAUUUGGCUUCUCAUGCUGCCUGAGAGGUUCAGGAAGGGAUCCUGAAGUCCUCCUGCUUUUGAAUGCACACAAAAUAUACCAGGUUCCUACAAGGUACUGAAGGCUGCCACCCACCGAGAGCCUCUGGGGCAAGAACUUUGGGGGACUCUUGGGUUCACGCAUAUGCAAAGUUUCAUUCCAGCACAGAGCUGCAAUAGUACAGCCUGCUACUAGCUGUGGAGACUUAAAGGGAUGUCUGCUCAGCCGUGUUUCCUGUUUGCUGUGAACGCACCGCAGCAGGGCUGAGGGUGCCAGAGCUCAGAGCAGAGGGUUCAGGUGUGAACAGGGAGGGUACUCACAACAUGGCAUAGCCUUGACCCCUUCCUCCUCCGCCUCUCCUGCCUCCCCUCCUCCCACCCCCAUCACCGGAGGACAGGGGUGGAAAAGAGCAGGGGGUCCUAGCUCCCUCAGGAACCAACGGCAGUGCUUCAGGGGAGCCUGGGCACAUGUGGAUUUCCUUCCCUCCUGUGCCUCACCCGUCCUCCUCCAAGCUUCUGACUUCCUUCUUCCCUGGUCAAGGCCAAGUGGACAGGAUGAGCUGAAUGCAGAGAGAGAUAGAGGAGGGACAGCCAGCGACUAAGUCACCUGCUCAGCGUAGCUUCCCCAAAUCUUGCUUCUUAAACUGGGGUACUUGUGUCUAGGAGGACAGGACUGUGGACCUGGGGAGUGGGGUGUGGUGAGGGGAUAAGAGGAGCCACAGAAUCAAAAUGGCGUAAUCUCCUCAAUCCUACUCAGAUUUGGAAAGGAAACAUUGGGUUUUUUUGUUUUGUUUUAAAAACUUGUGUUGACAACCUAAAAGUUGAGAAAUAUGUUUUACUUGGUGGACUUGCUGGGGACUUCAAGCCUGGGAGGCAGCCUCUCUGAUAGCUCUGAGGGACUGCUCUGAAGAGGUAGGGAGGGGAGCCAGGAUAUAUAGGAGUUUUGCAACAAAGACCAGGUAGCGGGAACAUUAAAAGAUUACUGUCAAUUAAAGAAAAACCAGAUAUCUCAAGUUAACGAAUUAAGCCCUUUUCUAUGUAGGGAAGAUGCAAGAGUCUGGGUUCACUGAAGUCAUUCCUUUGAUAUGCACCUUAGCUGUCUAGGGCUUCCAUUCUCUCCCAUCCUGAGUCCCCUUGGGGUGCACUGUUGAGGAUGGUGCAGUGGCUGAGGAUUUGGCAGCCCAUUGGUCUCCAUCCUUAGUUCCCUCAGGGCUGUACUGGCUUGAUGGCUGCAACAUUCUUUGUUUGCUGAUAUGGCAGGCAACAUUUUUCAUCCACACUUUUGUAACAUUACUUUUUAAAUGAAGACAAACUUUUUUUCUUAAGUUGGGUCCAGCCAAUUUCCGUUGUUGUGUGACUAAAAAGCAACAACCCCAAAUAGCGCCCAGCCUAUAGCAUCUGUCCACUUAACCCCUCCCUCUUCAGUCACCCAGGGCUCCCACUAUGUACCUGGAGGAAAGUUGCGUUCGUUCUCUAGGCUGGCAGACCAGGGAGGAGGAGGCAAUUCAAGGGUGCCUUCAGUGUGAAAGGCUGGGCUCUGACACAGGGACUGGAGGAAGCUGGGAAGAGGUAGCAGAGCACUGGAUUGGGGUGAGGAGAGAGCGCUCCACGCAGUUACAUCACCCCAGGUUAGGUGCCCUGCCCUCCCAGGCCUCCAUUUCUUCACCUGCCAGACAAAGGAGUCGGAGGGGUUCGGGACCGACUGUAAGCCCUUGCUGGCUUGAUAUGUCUGUGGCUUCCUUCACCCACACCUCUGCACAGAGAGCUUUCUGCUCUCAACAGAGCCCAGUGUGAGGACAGUGUGGUGGAGCUGGUGAAAGAGAAGAGAACUAACAAGAUAGCUCUUGAAUUGUUCAGGCCUGUGCUUUUAGCUAAACUGAUCUUAUGACUAACAGGCUCCCCUCCCUGUGCACUCUUUUCUUAGAAUAACUCAAUCCUUUUUUACCCUUCAAGAGGUCUUGAAAAAGGUCAUGGACUGAACCUCAAGAACAUGGGCAGACCUUCCUAAAUUCCUCCAUAACAACAGCAAGUUCUUAUCAAGAUGAAAGGAAUGAAACAUCUAUGCCCUGAUCGUUAUCACCUCUUCUGUUCCAUCCAGUUUUUCUGUAAAACCUCAGGACCCCAACCCCAAGAUGGAUUCACAGUUUCCAAGGCAUUAGCCCCCUGUGACUCCCCUUUGCCCGGCAAAGCAAUACAGCUGCUCUUUUCUUUGCUCCCAAAACUCUGCCUCUGGGUUUGAAUUCACUUUUCGGGGUGCAGAGACCGAUUUUUCAGCAACACUGGGGUGCGUUGCUUAUCCCAACUCCAGGAACCAAAGAUUGUCAUUGCUGGCCCCAGGGGGUCCUGAAUUGCCUUGCCAGCGAGGAGUAGUCUGGUGACAGCACUGGUCCUGAAAUCUUGCCAGCUGGGCAUGACAAGCAGGCCUUGUCAUGAAUCCAGGGCAUGUUCUCACCAGAGGAACCAGACUCGAUUCUGGCCUUGGCAAAGGUGCGGAGGAUUUGUUCUGGAACAUUGAGCACUGCAGCAACCCCACCCUAAAGAGCACGCUCCCCCGACACUGCCAGCCCUGCAGCCCUCUGGUCCCUUUCACUGCUAGGCAGUUAGGCAGUACCUGAAAGGAAUUUAACCUCUCUGGGCAAGUUGCCCAGGCGCAUCUGUAGGGAUUUCACACACCCCUCCCCCACCAGAAAACACUCAAAGUAUUGCAUAAAUGUGAGACUUAAGGAACUCCUGCCUCAGAAAUGCCCUUGUCCUUUUCUUGUAUGCAGUGCUAUUUUCAAAACCAGUAUUUAAGCCCUUCUGAGGAAUUCCUGCCCAUCAGUCAAGAUGUAGCCUCAGUGGCCUCCUCCUGUCCAUCCUGUCGGCUUCCAUUGUGCACAUCUCUACCAGAGCUUGGAGCUUAAGAGCACAGCCUUACAAUUUAUCUGUGGACACGUCAAUCUCCUCACCAGGCCCUGAGCAGAUUUUCUAGAAUGGCAGCUGUUCAGGGUGGGGCUUCCAUCACUUAAUAUAGAGGCCCCUGCCAACACCAAAGUUCUGUGUAGGUUGCAGUCAGUUCCAAAUACUCUUUUCUCAACUGUUCUUGUCUUAAUUGUUAUGGUCUCAAUUCCUUCCAUAACAGUUUACUUACUUACUUAGACCUCAUCUAUCUUACUGAAUGGUGGUGUUGGGUCAUCUGGGGUCAGAAAAACAGUGAAAAAAUGCCAAUACUCUGGCUACAACUAUCUCUAGGGAUAAUAAAGUGUCCUUCUCUGACCCAGGAGUCACAUGUCUUCCACCCACAUCCACAAAUUGUAGUAGGCUAACUGAUUAGCCCACAAGUAGGGUAAAAUCUCAAGCCCUGCACUGUUCUUGACAGCUUGGAGCAUUGUGGGUAGAGGAAGCAGUAUAUGCAAAGGCCCUGAGGCCUGAGGGAGCACAGCCUAUUCUAGGAGUUGCCAGGAGAUCAUGACCAUGGCCUACAUGUUGACUGUGGGGUGACAAGCAAUCUCUUCCUUCCAGCAGAAGCUCAAAUGUCACCUUCUCUGACCAUCCUGUCUGUGACCAUCCUAUCUAUCUAGCAGCUGUAGAAAUAUUUUCAAGUAUUUUGUGAUUUGCAUUUUUAGGGCAGUGAACCCUUUAGCAGCAUGGGGAGCUCACUGAAGAAAAGCAAGAUCAUGGGAGACUGGAAGACCAGGAGGUACUGGCGAUUGAACGCAGGACCUUGUGCAUGCUAAAGAUGAGCUACCACUGAGCUCCACCCACCCUCCCGGUUAACGGGCUUUCUGAUGACUGAGGCCAGCUCCAAGUUGGAUAGCCCCUAUUUAACUUGACCUUUUCACACUUCUCCAAUUCCUCUUUUCCUUUCAAAUAUUUUAUUGACAUAAUGAAAAAAAUUCUGAUUCUUAUUUACAUUCAAUAAAAUGUAGAUCUUGAGUGUACAUCUCUAUGAAUUGAUAUCUAUAUAUACCCAUGUAACCACUACUCAAACCAAGAUACAAAACAUCCCUAUCUCCCCAGAAGUUCUCUGUGCCCCUUCCAAGUCUAAGGUACCCAUCCCCACCCCAAGGUAAUCCAUGUUCUGACUUCCAUCACCUUAGUUUAUUUUUGCUGAGUUUUUGAACUUCAUGUAAAUAGAAUCAUACAGUGUUUACUUUUUUCUGCACAUAGCUUCUUUCUCUCAGCCUAAUGGUUCAUGUUGUUGUGUGCUUCAGAAAUUCACUCUUUCUUUUAUAGCUGUGUAGUAUUCCACUGUGUAAUAUACCACAAUUUGUCUACCAUUCUUCUGCUGACGGGCAUUUGGGUUGUUUCGAAUAAAGCUGCAGUGAACUUU